This 98-nucleotide ribosomal RNA is filed under the name Burkholderiaceae bacterium. The record is from RNAcentral. Lineage: Bacteria; Pseudomonadati; Pseudomonadota; Betaproteobacteria; Burkholderiales; Burkholderiaceae.
GGUGGUCCCACUCCUUCCCAUUCCGAACAGGACAGUGAAACGCCUUAGCGCCGAUGAUAGUUGGUUGUAUUUCCAGUGAAAGUAGGACAUUGCUUGGC